GUGUACACAAGAUAGAGCUCUCAUCAAGUCUUAUUAAACUUUACAAUUAAAUCCACCUUCAAAAGUUAUUUCAUAAACUUUAUUUGUAUUAUUCUAAUAAAUGUAACCCACCUCUAUCUUUUACAUAAGCUGCACCUUUACUUGAAGUCCAUGAUUAUCUCAUAAAAGAAAGUUUUCUAAAAAAACUGACUGACAACAGCGGUAUACAAACUGGUUACAAGUAAAAGCAAAGUUUUUCGUGGUUCAUCGUUUAUAGGGCAGGUUCCUCUAAAUGGCUAUCUUGCCGCCAAAUCCGUUAAAUUUCAUCAUUAUUACUGCUCCAAAAUUAAUUAUUAAUGAGUA
Molecule: ribosomal RNA, 342 nt
Filed under: Galkinius sp. 1 MM-2014
Lineage: Eukaryota; Metazoa; Arthropoda; Thecostraca; Balanomorpha; Pyrgomatidae
Description: partial 12S ribosomal RNA
Source: RNAcentral